Molecule: ribosomal RNA, 255 nt
Filed under: Melanonus zugmayeri (arrowtail)
Lineage: Eukaryota; Metazoa; Chordata; Actinopteri; Gadiformes; Melanonidae
Description: partial 16S ribosomal RNA
Rfam family: Bacterial large subunit ribosomal RNA
Source: RNAcentral
AACCGUGCGAAGGUAGCGUAAUCACUUGUCUUUUAAAUGAAGACCUGUAUGAAUGGCAUCACGAGGGCUUAACUGUCUCCCCCCUCCAGUCAAUGAAAUUGACCUCCCCGUGCAGAGGCGGGGAUACCCCUAUAAGACGAGAAGACCCUGUGGAGCUUUAGACCUAAAAUAAAUUAUGUUCAACACUCUACAAAACCAGUAAAAACUUAAUAAUAUUUAUUCAAGUGUCUUUGGUUGGGGCGACCGAGGGGAAAA